UCCAGUUUAUAUAUUGUUUUGGCUUCCUGCAUUUUACUUUUUGUUCAUAACACUUUCAACUUAUUACUUCUUUGGUUAUGCAUUGUCAUUGAUGAGAGAGUGUUAUCAACAAAAAGUAAAAUGCAGGAAGCCAAAACAAUAUAUAAACUGGA
This 152-nucleotide microRNA precursor is filed under the name Prunus dulcis (almond). RNAcentral describes it as "sRNA ncRNA". The record is from RNAcentral. Lineage: Eukaryota; Viridiplantae; Streptophyta; Magnoliopsida; Rosales; Rosaceae.